RNAcentral lists this ribosomal RNA (381 nucleotides) under Triticum aestivum (bread wheat). Its description in RNAcentral is "partial small subunit ribosomal RNA". The record is from RNAcentral. Lineage: Eukaryota; Viridiplantae; Streptophyta; Magnoliopsida; Poales; Poaceae.
CCCUAAUGGGGUUAGAUAUGGAAGUUAUCUUGUCCGGCAAAAGUCAAAAUCUUUUUAUGGCAGACAUUACAUGGCACUCUCCCAUGUCGGGCAACACUCACUAAUAGACACAUGAAGGUCUCGCCCUCUUGCCCUACCUGCUCUCAGGGUGUAGAAGAUACGAAGCACAUGUUCCUAUGUACUAAAGCAAAGGAGGUUUGGAAAAGGCUAGGGAUGGAUGUGAUUAUUGAUAAAGCUUGUAAGAUUCAUCGUGUUGGAGAGGCGGCAUUGGAAUACCUAUCACUCCUUCCAGAUCAAGAUUUGCGCAUUAUGGAGUACCAAAAUGUUCGAGAAAUGAUAGCUAUCUCACUUGGUAUCUAUGGCGGGGAAGACGAAAAUUAG